GUGCCAGCCGCCGCGGUAAUACGUGGGGUGCAAGCGUUGUUCGGAAUUACUGGGCGUAAAGCGCGUGUAGGCGGCCUAUUAUGUCAGGUGUGAAAGCCCUCGGCCUAACCGAGGAAGUGCGCCUGAAACUGAUAGGCUUGAGUACGAGAGAGGAGGACGGAAUUCCCAGUGUAGAGGUGAAAUUCGUAGAUAUUGGGAGGAACACCGGUGGCGAAAGCGGUUCUCUGGAUCGAUACUGACGCUAAGACGCGAAAGCGUGGGGAGCAAACAGGAUUAGAAACCCUAGUAGUCC
This 292-nucleotide ribosomal RNA is filed under the name uncultured bacterium. RNAcentral's name for it is "partial 16S ribosomal RNA". It matches the Rfam family "Bacterial small subunit ribosomal RNA", at positions 505 to 796 of the family's 1533-position model. The record is from RNAcentral.